Molecule: ribosomal RNA, 785 nt
Filed under: uncultured bacterium
Lineage: Bacteria
Description: bacterial SSU rRNA
Rfam family: Bacterial small subunit ribosomal RNA
Source: RNAcentral
CUCGUGUUCUUCGGAGCAAGAGGGGGUGGCGGACGGGUGAGUAACACGUGGGAACCUACCUUGAGGUGAGGAAUACCGGCGAGAAAUCGCCGACAAGACCGCAUAGACUCUGGAGGCAGAGCAAAGCCGGAAGGCGCCACAAGAUGGGCCCGCGGCCGAUUAGCUAGCUGGUGGGGUAAGAGCUCACCAGGGCAUCGAUCGGUAGCUGGUCUGAGAGGACGAUCAGCCACACUGGGAUUGAGAACGGCCCAGACUCCUACGGGGGGCAGCAGUGAGGAAUUUUCCGCAAUGGAGGGAACUCUGACGGAGCAACGCCGCGUGCAGGAAGACGGCCUUCGGGUUGUAAACUGCUUUUCUGUGGGAAGAGAACGGACGGUACCACAGGAAGAAGCCCCGGCUAACUAUGUGCCAGCAGCCGCGGUAAUACGUAGGGGGCAAGCGUUGUCCGGAGUUACUGGGCGUAAAGGGCACGCAGGCGGUCGUGUAAGAGUGCGGGGACAGUGGGCGGCUUAACUGCCCAAGGGUCGCACAGACUGCGCGACUAGAGGACCAGAGAGGGACCUGGAAUUCCGGGUGGAGCGGUGAAAUGCGUAGAGAUCCGGAGGAACACCAAUGGCGAAGGCAGGGUUCUGGCUGGUACCUGACGCUCAUGUGCGAAAGCCAGGGGAGCGAACGGGAUUAGAUACCCCGGUAGUCCUGGCCGUAAACGAUGACCACCAGACGUGGGAGGUAUCGACCCCUUCCGUGUCGGANUUAACACGAUGAGUGGUCCGCCUGGGGAGUAC